RNAcentral lists this ribosomal RNA (460 nucleotides) under uncultured bacterium. RNAcentral's name for it is "partial 16S ribosomal RNA". It matches the Rfam family "Bacterial small subunit ribosomal RNA", at positions 338 to 795 of the family's 1533-position model. The record is from RNAcentral.
CCUACGGGUGGCAGCAGUGAGGAAUAUUGGUCAAUGGACGAGAGUCUGAACCAGCCAAGUAGCGUGAAGGAUGACUGCCCUAUGGGUUGUAAACUUCUUUUAUAUGGGAAUAAAAUGUUCCACGUGUGGGAUUUUGUAUGUACCAUAUGAAUAAAGAUCGGCUAACUCCGUGCCAGCAGCCGCGGUAAUACGGAGGAUCCGAGCGUUAUCCGGAUUUAUUGGGUUUAAAGGGAGCGUAGGUGGAGUGUUAAGUCAGUUGUGAAAGUUUGCGGCUCAACCGUAAAAUUGCAGUUGAAACUGGCAGGCUUGAGUACAGUAGAGGUGGGUGGAAUUCGUGGUGUAGCGGUGAAAUGCUUAGAGAUCACGAAGAACGCCGAUUGCGAAGGCAGCUCACUGGACUGCAACUGACACUGAGGCUCGAAAGUGUGGGUAUCAAACAGGAUUAGAUACCCGGGUAGUC